Molecule: ribosomal RNA, 457 nt
Filed under: Desmognathus fuscus (dusky salamander)
Lineage: Eukaryota; Metazoa; Chordata; Amphibia; Caudata; Plethodontidae
Description: partial 16S ribosomal RNA
Rfam family: Bacterial large subunit ribosomal RNA (bases 153-457)
Source: RNAcentral
AUUUUAAAUCUAUCCUAAAUAUAAAAUACUACUUCCUAAUACACAAAACAUUAUUAUAUAAUAGUAUGGGCGACAGAAAAUUUAUUAGCGCAAUAGAAAAAGUACUGUAAAGGAAAGAUGAAAUAAAAAUGAAAUAAAACAAAGAUAUAAAAAAGCAAAGACUACAACUUUUACCUUUAGCAUAAUGAUCUAGCCAGUCUAUAUUAACAUAAAGAAUUUUAGUUAUAUACCCCGAAACCAGACGAUCUACCCUAAGGCAGCAAUAUAUGAGCAAACUCUUCUCUGUAGCAAAAGAGUGAGAAGAACUUUUGGUAGAGGCGAAAAACCAAACGAGCCUGGAUAUAGCUGGUUACUUGAGAAUGAAUUUUAGUUCAACUAAAAGCAUAAAUAUUUUAAAAACAAGCGCUUUUAUUAUAAUUAAUUGAGGUACAGCCCAAUUAAUAAAGGAAACAACCUA